RNAcentral lists this ribosomal RNA (429 nucleotides) under Chloroflexota bacterium. RNAcentral's name for it is "Chloroflexi bacterium partial 16S ribosomal RNA". It matches the Rfam family "Bacterial small subunit ribosomal RNA", at positions 355 to 776 of the family's 1533-position model. The record is from RNAcentral. Lineage: Bacteria; Bacillati; Chloroflexota.
UGGGGAAUAUUGCACAAUGGGCGCAAGCCUGAUGCAGCCAUGCCGCGUGUGUCAAGAAGGCCUUCGGGUUGUAAAGCACUUUCAGCGGGGAGGAAGGCGAUAAGGUUAAUAACCUUGUCGAUUGACGUUACCCGCAGAAGAAGCACCGGCUAACUCCGUGCCAGCAGCCGCGGUAAUACGGAGGGUGCAAGCGUUAAUCGGAAUUACUGGGCGUAAAGCGCACGCAGGCGGUCUGUCAAGUCGGAUGUGAAAUCCCCGGGCUCAACCUGGGAACUGCAUUCGAAACUGGCAGGCUAGAGUCUUGUAGAGGGGGGUAGAAUUCCAGGUGUAGCGGUGAAAUGCGUAGAGAUCUGGAGGAAUACCGGUGGCGAAGGCGGCCCCCUGGACAAAGACUGACGCUCAGGUGCGAAAGCGUGGGGAGCAAACAGG